GACGAACGCUGGCGGCGUGCUUAACACAUGCAAGUCGAACGGAAAGGCCCUGCUUUUGUGGGGUGCUCGAGUGGCGAACGGGUGAGUAACACGUGAGUAACCUGCCCUUGACUUUGGGAUAACUUCAGGAAACUGGGGCUAAUACCGGAUAGGAGCUCCUGCUGCAUGGUGGGGGUUGGAAAGUUUCGGCGGUUGGGGAUGGACUCGCGGCUUAUCAGCUUGUUGGUGGGGUAGUGGCUUACCAAGGCUUUGACGGGUAGCCGGCCUGAGAGGGUGACCGGCCACAUUGGGACUGAGAUACGGAGCAGACUCCUACGGGAGGCAGCAGUGGGGAAUAUUGCACAAUGGGCGGAAGCCUGAUGCAGCAACGCCGCGGGCGGGAUGACGGCCUUCGGGUUGUAAACCGCUUUCGCCUGUGACGAAGCGUGAGUGACGGUAAUGGGUAAAGAAGCACCGGCUAACUACGUG
RNAcentral lists this ribosomal RNA (468 nucleotides) under uncultured bacterium. RNAcentral describes it as "partial 16S ribosomal RNA". It matches the Rfam family "Bacterial small subunit ribosomal RNA", at positions 28 to 507 of the family's 1533-position model. The record is from RNAcentral.